Salmo salar (Atlantic salmon) is the source of this 845-nucleotide non-coding RNA. The record is from RefSeq and is a predicted model, not a curated record. Lineage: Eukaryota; Metazoa; Chordata; Actinopteri; Salmoniformes; Salmonidae.
AUGUGUACCUUUUCAAACAUGUAUUUUCAAAUAAGUUAAUCAUACUCACUUCAUAAAACCUUUGUCAUUGUCAAUACUUGCCAUAUUAUUUGAGCUAGACGUAGGCAUUUCACUUAGUACUGCAAAGAGUGCUAAUAUAAUACUGAGGAGGUAAUAUUGACCAAUACAUUUCCAUACAGUCUAUCCUCUCUCUGAAAAUGCUCCUCCUUCAUGUCUGUCAGUUGAUGGUGAUAUACAGGCUGAGAUGGACAUGGAAGAGAGAGAGAGGAUCUCUACCUCUUACUGUAACUCACAGUCACUCUCAGUGUGUUCUGUAUAACCAUGGUACUCUGUGUGAUCAUCUGGCUGGUUCUUGAUGUAUUCUGCUUUGGUGACAGUAAUGGUCAGAUCAUUAAGCCAAUCUCUUCUGCUGAAGUGAGAGACUCUGCAAUGUACUAUUGUGCUGUGACAGGAACCCAGAAACUCUGUACUAAAACCUUUCCUUAUACUUUCAAAUGUAGAUAUAAAAUGUAAUUGAUUUAAUGUAGUCAGUAGGAGGAGCUAAAGCUAAGGAUUAGAUAAUGAAUCAUUGUGAUAAGACAUGAUUCUCCCUACAUUAAUAAAAUCAAUCUAAGCAGGAGGAAGAGCAGCAACAGUUGAAGACUCUUCAAACACAGUAUGUGGAAAGAACAGUGAUCAGUCUGAUUUGUUGCCUUUUAUUGUCAGUUUGUCUAACUUACAAAGAACAUUGUUACUUUUUUCAAUUUUACUGUUCACAACAAUUACAGGUAAGAGACAGCAUUUGUUAUAUAAAUAUUGUCUAUUUUAUGUGUAUUUAAUAAUAAUAAUAAAAAUGCAGUAUCCAA